CCUACGGGGGGCAGCAGUGAGGAAUAUUGGUCAAUGGACGCAAGUCUGAACCAGCCAUGCCGCGUGCAGGAAGACGGCUCUAUGAGUUGUAAACUGCUUUUGUACGAGGGUAAACGCAGAUACGCGUAUCUGUCUGAAAGUAUCGUACGAAUAAGGAUCGGCUAACUCCGUGCCAGCAGCCGCGGUAAUACGGAGGAUUCAAGCGUUAUCCGGAUUUAUUGGGUUUAAGGGGUGCGUAGGCGGUCGGAUAAGUUAGAGGUGAAAUCCCGAGGCUCAACUUCGGAAUUGCCUCUGAUACUGUUAGGCUAGAGAGUAGUUGCGGUAGGCGGAAUGUAUGGUGUAGCGGUGAAAUGCUUAGAGAUCAUACAGAACACCGAUUGCGAAGGCAGCUUACCAAGCUACGUCUGACGUUGAGGCACGAAAGCGUGGGGAGCAAACAGGAUUAGAUACCCCGGUAGUC
This 460-nucleotide ribosomal RNA is filed under the name uncultured bacterium. Its description in RNAcentral is "partial 16S ribosomal RNA". It matches the Rfam family "Bacterial small subunit ribosomal RNA", at positions 338 to 795 of the family's 1533-position model. The record is from RNAcentral.